Molecule: non-coding RNA, 29 nt
Filed under: Rattus norvegicus (Norway rat)
Lineage: Eukaryota; Metazoa; Chordata; Mammalia; Rodentia; Muridae
Source: RNAcentral
UCCAGGCCUCUGUGAGAGAAAAUGGUUUC